UACGUAGGGUGCAAGCGUUACUCGGAAUUACUGGGCGUAAAGCGUGCGCAGGCGGCUUUGCAAGACAGAUGUGAAAUCCCCGGGCUUAACCUGGGAACUGCAUUUGUGACUGCAUGGCUGGAGUGCGGCAGAGGGGGAUGGAAUUCCGCGUGUAGCAGUGAAAUGCGUAGAGAUGCGGAGGAACACCGAUGGCGAAGGCAGCCCCCUGGGCCGACAUUGACGCUCAGGCACGAAAGCGUGGGGAGCAAACAGG
This 253-nucleotide ribosomal RNA is filed under the name uncultured bacterium. RNAcentral describes it as "partial 16S ribosomal RNA". It matches the Rfam family "Bacterial small subunit ribosomal RNA", at positions 524 to 776 of the family's 1533-position model. The record is from RNAcentral.